CCGAGGCCAGCUUCCGCCGCCCCUCCUCCUCCUUUUCCAUCACCACCACCACCUCAUCCUGGUCCAGGUUCUCCGCCUCCUCCGCCUCCUCCUCGAGCUCGCCGAGCCUGGGAUGGAUUGGAUUUUGUCCAGCAAAAGAUCACAUUUGAAUCAGCAGCUAUAAUUGAAGUUACCACCUAAUUAAACUUAUGGUAACCCAAUAAAAUUAUCCAAGACACAUGGAAAUACAGAGGACAGAGGAACGCACUGACCUGCACCACAAGCCCUCAAGUAAAAAAAAUCCAGACUGUGGGAGACUGUGCAGGUCAAAGGCCUAUAAGCCAGAGAAGGAUAGAAGAGGAGGAACCUACAGAUUAAAAGAUACUUAUGUGAAAAAAAAAAGAUACGUGAUGUAUUUUUAAAUGGGCGACAGUAAAAUAUAGCUUCUAGGAAUGCACAUUUGGGUGAUAAAACUAUAAAAAAGGAAAAUGUGAGGAAGUGGUCACUGUGAAAGGCAGGUCUAACUGGUGGUCACUUUCGGGAGGAGGGAAUGUGUGAUUGGGAUGGGGUACAUGGAAGAGGCUUCUGGAAUGGCUGGCAAAUUUCUAUUUUUUUCAUCUGAACGGUGCUUACCUUAAAGUAAUUCAUUAAGUCAUGUGUUUUAUUGGUGUGGUGUUCUGCAGUGAUGUUUUAUUUUAUAAAAAUAAAUGCAUGCUUUAAAAAUGUCACACCUUAGACCAAUUAAAUCAAGUUCUCUGGAGGUGAGAUCCAGGCAUCAGUAUUCUUUAAAGCUCCCUGGUGAUUCCAAAGUAUAGCUGAGUUUGAGAACCAAUGUGAAGGAAGAAUGGCAUUUCAGCGUGCUCAGUAUCAGGAACCUGGGUUUUAGUCUUCACAUAGCCACCAAUACAGCUGUGUGACCUGGAGCUUGGGUUUUAACCUCUCUGGAUCACAGUGGCCCAUAUGUUAUGUGGUGAAAACAGCUUACUUACUCAAAGUUGGGAUUGGACAGGUUGAUUUUUAAAGUCCCUCUGAGUUCUAAAGCCUGAAACCCAAAUAAAAAGAAAUAGAAAUUGUAUUAGAGCAAUUCAAUUGCAUAAAACUUUUAACAGUUGCAUAUGCAAAAUAAUUACAUUUAUAUAUCCAUACAUCUCACAUUUAUGCAUCCAUACCUCAAUUACAACUUCAUUAAUGAAAAAUAUCUAUGUGCAACAAUGUUCAUCAUUGUACUGUCUGUGUCACUGGAUUCAUUAGUUAUGGUAUUAGUUAAAUAAAUUGGGGUACAUCCAUGAAAUGAAAUACUUGUCAUUUAAAAGAGUACCUAUAGAAAACUUUCAGAACAUCUUGCUAAGUGGAAAAAAUAGGUUACAAAAUAGGAUUUUCUGUGCAAGUCCAUUUGUUUAAAAAAAAUGUGUUUCUGGUGUGUGUGUGUGUGUGUGUGUGUGUGUGUGUUCAAAUAAAUUAACUGGAAAGAUUCACUCCAAAAUAUCAAUAAUGGUCAUCUCUGGGUGGUAAGAUUACAGGUUCUCUUUCUUUACUUUCUGAAUUCUUUGAUUUUUUCUAUAAUAAAUAUAUUCUGUUUAUAUUUAAAAAGCGUUUUUUAAAAAGAAAAUCUAUUCAGAGCUUUGUUGGCAUUCCAUUAAAUAUUCUUUUCGUGAUUAAACGAAAGUAAUCUUUUAUUCUUCCCAUGGUAUCUCAAUCAGGCAGAAUGGCAAAAUCAAUCUGCUGUGUAGAACAUUAAACUAAAAAUCUGUGGUAGGACAGCAUGGAGAAUACAGCCAAUGAUUCUGUAACAUCUUCCUAUGUUGACAGACAGUAACUGCAUUAGUGGGGGUGAGGAUUUAACAAUAUGGGU
Manis javanica (Malayan pangolin) is the source of this 1831-nucleotide non-coding RNA. The record is from RefSeq and is a predicted model, not a curated record. Lineage: Eukaryota; Metazoa; Chordata; Mammalia; Pholidota; Manidae.